Molecule: ribosomal RNA, 253 nt
Filed under: uncultured bacterium
Lineage: Bacteria
Description: partial 16S ribosomal RNA
Rfam family: Bacterial small subunit ribosomal RNA
Source: RNAcentral
UACAGAGGGGGCAAGCGUUGUCCGGAAUUACUGGGCGUAAAGCGUGCGCAGGCGGCGCGUUAAGACAGGUGUGAAAGCCCCGAGCUUAACUUGGGAAUUGCGCUUGUGACUGGCGUGCUGGAGUGUGGCAGAGGGAGGUGGAAUUCCACGUGUAGCAGUGAAAUGCGUAGAGAUGUGGAGGAACACCGAUGGCGAAGGCAGCCUCCUGGGCCAGCACUGACGCUCAUGCACGAAAGCGUGGGGAGCAAACAGG